CGUAUGAUAUCGCAGCCAGCCCGCAUCCCGUCUGGUUUGUUGCGGGCGGCCUGUGUCUUAACACAGCGCAAAACUCCUUACCGGAUUUU
RNAcentral lists this non-coding RNA (89 nucleotides) under Pantoea sp. GM01. RNAcentral describes it as "Peptidase-S11 RNA". It matches the Rfam family "Peptidase-S11 RNA". Rfam says of the family: Enterobacteria. Lineage: Bacteria; Pseudomonadati; Pseudomonadota; Gammaproteobacteria; Enterobacterales; Erwiniaceae. The record is from RNAcentral.